Molecule: long non-coding RNA, 1456 nt
Filed under: Homo sapiens (human)
Lineage: Eukaryota; Metazoa; Chordata; Mammalia; Primates; Hominidae
Description: long non-coding RNA NONHSAT173395.1
Source: RNAcentral
UCUCCCUCCCCUCCCCAGCCCAUCCCUCCCCAUGUCCUUCCAGGGUCAGUAGCACUCCCUCCCUGCCAGAGGAGACCUUCCUGCCCGCCUCAUCCAACCGACUCACCCCCGCGUUUCUCGUGAGAGUGAUUGGAUCCAGCCAGUGGUGCUGUUCUGAGAACUGCCUGUGUCUCCGGCCUUAGCUCAUCUGUGGCUCACAAAGUGGGGAUAAUUUGCAUCCUACUGAUGGGGAAACUGAGUCACCUGGCGGUGACAUCUCUUGCCCCAGGUUCACAGCAGGCCGGCUCCGAGUCCGUGAGUGUGAGGGCGUGAGUGGGUGCUCGUGUGGGUGUCUGUGAUGGUUGCGCAGAGUGUUGGAGUUUACUGUGUGUAUGUGUGUUGUGCUGUGUGGUGUAAAUGGGUGUGUGCAUGUGUUGGGUGUGAAUGUGUGUUGGAUAUAUGUAUAAGUGUCAGGAGUGAGUAUGUUGUGUAUGGGUGUGUGUUGUGUGUGACUUUGUUGUGUGCAUGGCUGUGUGUUGUAUGUGUGACUUUGUGUUUGUGUAUGUAUGUUGUAUGUGCAUGUGACUCUGCAUGACCUGUGUGGGUGUAUGUUGUGUGUAUGAUUGUGCAUUGUGUAUGAAUGUGACUAUGUGGGCACGUGUUGUGUGUAUGCGUGUGUGUCUUUUGUGUGCUGUGUGGCUAUGUGUGCAUGUGACUGUGUUGUGUGUGGCCUGUGUGUGUUGUGUGCGUGUGGUUGUGGUUGUGUGUGGCCUGUGUGUGUGUGGCUGUGAGACCUGUGUGUGUUGUGUGUAUGUGGCUGUGGUUGUGUCUGCCCUGUGUGUGUGCACGUGUGCCUGUGGCUGUGUGUCCCCUGUGUGUUGUGUGCGUGUGACUGUGUUGUGUGUGCCCUGUGUGUGUGAGACCUCUGUGUGUUGUAUGCGUGUGCCUGUGGUUGUGCGUGCCCUGUGUGUGCGUGCGUGCAUGGGGCAUCCUGCCUGUCCAGCAGAGCUCCCUCUCCCACUUUCGUUAAACCCCAUCUCCAUCCUCCAUGCUCAGGAAGGUGCUGGGUAAAUACAUUGCCAUCUGGCUGAUGGAACAGCGUCCUGGUUGGGAGGAGUUGGCCACACUCCCCAGAUCAGGGAGAGUCUCCAGGGACUGUGGAAGGAGCCAGGGCUGGGGCCAGGAAGGAAGCAGGGCUAAGGAACCCCUGGGAGCCGCCUCCCACUCCACUCCUGGCCCCAGCCGUGGGGGCUGGAGCUGAUGCAGUUCCAGGGGGCUGAGGGACAGAGGGGGUCCCUCCUCGUGCCUGCCUCCACCCCCAAACCUUCCCUGGGUUCCAGUGUCACUGCAGGCGGCCUCCCCGAACACUGGGAGACACUGAGAGUCUUAGCUGCCUGGCCUGGUAGCUCAGUCUAGGUGUCACGUUUUCCCCAGGAGAGGGGCUGGCCCUCAGGCGCAGCGGUCUGGUUCAGAGCCA